RNAcentral lists this ribosomal RNA (415 nucleotides) under uncultured bacterium. RNAcentral's name for it is "bacterial SSU rRNA". It matches the Rfam family "Bacterial small subunit ribosomal RNA", at positions 355 to 787 of the family's 1533-position model. The record is from RNAcentral.
UGAGGAAUAUUGGUCAAUGGGGGAAACCCUGAUGCAGCGACGCCGCGUGAGCGAAGAAGUAUUUCGGUAUGUAAAGCUCUAUCAGCAGGGAAGAAAAUGACGGUACCUGACUAAGAAGCCCCGGCUAACUACGUGCCAGCAGCCGCGGUAAUACGUAGGGGGCAAGCGUUAUCCGGAUUUACUGGGUGUAAAGGGAGCGUAGACGGAUCUGCAAGUCUGGAGUGAAAGCCCGGGGCUCAACCCCGGGACUGCUUUGGAAACUGUAUUUCUAGAGUGCUGGAGAGGUAAGUGGAAUUCCUAGUGUAGCGGUGAAAUGCGUAGAUAUUAGGAGGAACACCAGUGGCGAAGGCGGCUUACUGGACAGUGACUGACGUUGAGGCUCGAAAGCGUGGGGAGCAAACAGGAUUAGAUACCC